RNAcentral lists this ribosomal RNA (1248 nucleotides) under Okiscarta uchidae. Its description in RNAcentral is "16S ribosomal RNA". The stretch from base 1004 to 1162 matches the Rfam family "Archaeal large subunit ribosomal RNA", at positions 2544 to 2703 of the family's 2987-position model. The record is from RNAcentral. Lineage: Eukaryota; Metazoa; Arthropoda; Insecta; Hemiptera; Cercopidae.
UAUGUUGUUUUUUUUUAAGUUUUUUUUUUAAUUAAAUUAUUUAUUUUUGUUAAAGUAUUUAUUUAGAACUAAUUUUUUUCUUUGAUAGUUUAUUAGUACUGUAAAGGAAUAUUUAUUUUUAAUUUUGGAAGCAGUUUUUUAUGUACCUUUUGUAUCAGGGUUAAUCUAUUUAUUUUAAUUUAUAAUAUUUUCCCGAAGGGAAAUGAUUUAUUUUUAAAUGUUGUUUAGUGUUUUAUAAUUAUCAAUUAUUUAUUAAUAGUAAUGAUAUGUUAUUCGUUUUUUCUGUUAUCUGGUUUCUUAAGAUUAAAUUUAAUUUUUUAUUAUUUAGUUUAAUUGAUUAUUAUUUUUUUUUUUAUUUUUUAUUAAUAUUUUAUUGGGGAUUAUCUUGGUAUUUUUGUAAUAAUUUUAUUUUUUAUUAAUUUUUUUAGGCUUAGAAUCAGUCUUAAUAUAUUUUCGUAAUUGUUUAUUUUAUUAUAUUUUUUAUUUGUUUAUAUUUUGUUUUUUAUUAAGAUUUUUAAUUUAAUAUUUUAUUAUUUAUAAAUGAUUUAAUUAGUAUAUUUUUAAUUAUUAAUAUAGUAAUUCGGCAAUUAAUUAAUUUCCACCUGUUUAUCAAAAACAUGUUUUUUAGUUUUUAUUAAAAAUUUAAUCUGCCCAAUGAUUUUUUUUUAAUGGCCGCAGUAAUUUGACUGUGCAAAGGUAGCAUAAUAAUUAGUCUUUUAAUUAAAGUCUUGUAUGAAUGAUUGGAUGAGAAAUUAUCUUUCUUUAUUAUUUUAACUGAAUUUGAUAUUUAGGUGAAAAAGCUUAAAUUUUUCUGUGGGACGAUAAGACCCUAUAGAUCUUUAAAAUUAUUUUUUUUUAAUAUUUUUAGAAUUUAUAUUUGUUAUUAAAUUAUUAAUUUUUUUGUUGGGGUGAUAAAUUAAUUAAUAUAACUUUUUUAUGUUUUUUCAUUAAUUUAUGUUUUUAUGAUCUUUUAUUAAUGAUUAAUAGAUUAAGUUACCUUAGGGAUAACAGCGUGAUUUAUUUGGAAAGUUCAUAUUUAUAAAUAAGUUUGCGACCUCGAUGUUGGAUUAAGAUUAGAAUAAGGGGUAGGUUUUUUAUUUCUAGGUCUGUUCGACCUUUAAAAUCUUACAUGAUCUGAGUUCAGACCGGCGUGAGCCAGGUUGGUUUCUAUCUUCAGAUUAUUAUGAUUAUUUUAGUACGAAAGGACCAGUAUAGUUAACUUAUUAGUUUUUAUUUAAUUAUUAUUAA